CUACGGGACGCUGCAGUGGGGAAUCUUAGACAAUGGGCGCAAGCCUGAUCUAGCCAUGCCGCGUGAGUGAUGAAGGCCUUAGGGUCGUAAAGCUCUUUCGCUGGGGAAGAUAAUGACGGUACCCAGUAGAGAAACCCCAGCUAACUCCGUGCCAGCAGCCGCGGUAAUACGGAGGGGGUUAGCGUUGUUCGGAAUUACUGGGCGUAAAGCGCGCGUAGGCGGACUGUUAAGUCGGGGGUGAAAUCCCGGGGCUCAACCCCGGAACGGCCUUCGAUACUGGCAGUCUGGAGUUCGAGAGAGGUGAGUGGAAUUCCGAGUGUAGAGGUGAAAUUCGUAGAUAUUCGGAGGAACACCAGUGGCGAAGGCGGCUCACUGGCUCGAUACUGACGCUGAGGUGCGAAAGUGUGGGGAGCAAACAGGAUUAGAUACCCUCGUAGUC
RNAcentral lists this ribosomal RNA (439 nucleotides) under uncultured bacterium. RNAcentral's name for it is "partial 16S ribosomal RNA". It matches the Rfam family "Bacterial small subunit ribosomal RNA", at positions 339 to 795 of the family's 1533-position model. The record is from RNAcentral.